RNAcentral lists this ribosomal RNA (572 nucleotides) under uncultured bacterium. RNAcentral's name for it is "bacterial SSU rRNA". It matches the Rfam family "Bacterial small subunit ribosomal RNA", at positions 337 to 917 of the family's 1533-position model. The record is from RNAcentral.
UCCUACGGGAGGCAGCAGUGAGGAAUUUUGGUCAAUGGGGGAAACCCUGAACCAGCGACGCCGUGUGUGGGAUGAAGGGGCUACGCUCUGUAAACCACUGUCAGAUAGGAAAAAAAGUACCCUCGGGGUACCGGGAUUGUACUAUCAGAGGAAGGACCGGCUAACUACGUGCCAGCAGCCGCGGUAAUACGUAGGGUCAAGCGUUGUCCGGAUUUACUGGGUAUAAAGGGUCCGCAGGCGGGCCUGUGCGUCGAAUGUUAAAGCCCACGGCUCAACCGUGGAAAAGCAUUCGAUACGGCGGGUCUUGAGUGUGAGAGAGGUAGGUGGAAUUCCUGGUGUAGCGGUGAAAUGCGUAGAUAUCAGGAGGAACACCAGUGGCGAAGGCGGCCUACUGGCUCACUACUGACGCUCAGGGACGAAAGCGUGGGGAGCGAACAGGAUUAGAUACCCUGGUAGUCCACGCCCUAAACGAUGUAUGCUUGGUGUUCGCAUUGCGAGUGCCGGAGGAAAUCCGUUAAGCAUACCACCUGGGAAGUACGAUCGCAAGGUUGAAACUCAAAGGAAUUGACGGA